UACAGAGGUCUCAAGCGUUGUUCGGAUUCAUUGGGCGUAAAGGGUGCGUAGGCGGCGCGGUAAGUCGGGUGUGAAAUCUCUGAGCUUAACUCCGAAACUGCAUUCGAUACUGCCGUGCUUGAGGACUGGAGAGGAGACUGGAAUUUACGGUGUAGCGGUGAAAUGCGUAGAUAUCGUAAGGAAGACCAGUGGCGAAGGCGGGUCUCUGGACAGUUCCUGACGCUGAGGCACGAAGGUCAGGGGAGCAAACGGG
This 253-nucleotide ribosomal RNA is filed under the name uncultured bacterium. Its description in RNAcentral is "partial 16S ribosomal RNA". It matches the Rfam family "Bacterial small subunit ribosomal RNA", at positions 524 to 776 of the family's 1533-position model. The record is from RNAcentral.